UGGGGAAUAUUGGACAAUGGGCGCAAGCCUGAUCCAGCCAUGCCGCGUGAGUGACGAAGGUCUUCGGAUUGUAAAACUCUUUUGGCGGGGACGAUAAUGACGGUACCCGCAGAAUAAGCCCCGGCUAACUUCGUGCCAGCAGCCGCGGUAAUACGAAGGGGGCUAGCGUUGUUCGGAAUCACUGGGCGUAAAGCGCACGUAGGCGGAUGUGCCAGUCAGGGGUGAAAUCCCGGAGCUCAACUCCGGAACUGCCUCUGAUACUGCACGUCUUGAGUUCGAGAGAGGUGGGUGGAAUUCCUAGUGUAGAGGUGAAAUUCGUAGAUAUUAGGAAGAACACCAGUGGCGAAGGCGGCUCACUGGUCCGGUACUGACGCUGAGGUGCGAAAGCGUGGGGAGCAAACAGGAUUAGAUACCCACGUAGUCCCUGAGCGGGCUGGCAAGGCGCAU
This 447-nucleotide ribosomal RNA is filed under the name uncultured bacterium. RNAcentral's name for it is "bacterial SSU rRNA". It matches the Rfam family "Bacterial small subunit ribosomal RNA", at positions 355 to 825 of the family's 1533-position model. The record is from RNAcentral.